RNAcentral lists this unclassified non-coding RNA (349 nucleotides) under soil metagenome. RNAcentral describes it as "partial contains 5.8S ribosomal RNA, internal transcribed spacer 2, and large subunit ribosomal RNA". The stretch from base 1 to 121 matches the Rfam family "5.8S ribosomal RNA", at positions 35 to 154 of the family's 154-position model. The record is from RNAcentral.
GAUGAAGAACGUAGCGAAAUGCGAUAAGUAAUGCGAAUUGCAGAAUUUCCGUGAGUCAUCGAAUCUUUGAACGCACAUUGCGCCCACUGGUAUUCCGGUGGGCAUGCCUGUUCGAGCGUCAUUAUCCUCCCUCAAACCUCGGGUUUGGUGUUGGACCCAAGUUGUGUGAACAACUGGUCUCAAAGACAAUGACGGCGUCCGUGGGACCCUCGGUGCAACGAGCUUUUAAACGAGCACGCGUCGAGUUUCAAGGACCUUCCGGGCCGGUCUCCUUCUUUUUAUUUACAAAGGUUGACCUCGGAUCAGGUAGGAAUACCCGCUGAACUUAAGCAUAUCAAUAAGCGGAGGA